Molecule: ribosomal RNA, 253 nt
Filed under: uncultured Eubacteriales bacterium
Lineage: Bacteria; Bacillati; Bacillota; Clostridia; Eubacteriales
Description: uncultured Clostridiales bacterium partial 16S ribosomal RNA
Rfam family: Bacterial small subunit ribosomal RNA
Source: RNAcentral
UACGUAGGGGGCGAGCGUUGUCCGGAAUGACUGGGCGUAAAGGGAGUGUAGGCGGCUCUUUAAGUUAUAUGUGAAAUCCCGCGGCUUAACCGUGGAAGUGCAUAUAAAACUGGGGAGCUGGAGUGCAGGAGAGGUGAGUGGAAUUCCUAGUGUAGCGGUGGAAUGCGUAGAUAUUAGGAGGAACAUCAGUGGCGAAGGCGACUAUCUGGACAGCAACUGACACUGAGGCACGAAAGCGUGGGGAGCAAACAGG